GAUGAACGCUAGCUACAGGCUUAACACAUGCAAGUCGAGGGGCAGCAUGGUCUUAGCUUGCUAAGGCCGAUGGCGACCGGCGCACGGGUGAGUAACACGUAUCCAACCUGCCGUCUACUCUUGGACAGCCUUCUGAAAGGAAGAUUAAUACAAGAUGGCAUCAUGAGUCCGCAUGUUCACAUGAUUAAAGGUAUUCCGGUAGACGAUGGGGAUGCGUUCCAUUAGAUAGUAGGCGGGGUAACGGCCCACCUAGUCUUCGAUGGAUAGGGGUUCUGAGAGGAAGGUCCCCCACAUUGGAACUGAGACACGGUCCAAACUCCUACGGGAGGCAGCAGUGAGGAAUAUUGGUCAAUGGGCGAGAGCCUGAACCAGCCAAGUAGCGUGAAGGAUGACUGCCCUAUGGGUUGUAAACUUCUUUUAUAAAGGAAUAAAGUCGGGUAUGGAUACCCGUUUGCAUGUACUUUAUGAAUAAGGAUCGGCUAACUCCGUGCCAGCAGCCGCGGUAAUACGGAGGAUCCGAGCGUUAUCCGGAUUUAUUGGGUUUAAAGGGAGCGUAGAUGGAUGUUUAAGUCAGUUGUGAAAGUUUGCGGCUCAACCGUAAAAUUGCAGUUGAUACUGGAUAUCUUGAGUGCAGUUGAGGCAGGCGGAAUUCGUGGUGUAGCGGUGAAAUGCUUAGAUAUCACGAAGAACUCCGAUUGCGAAGGCAGCCUGCUAAGCUGCAACUGACAUUGAGGCUCGAAAGUGUGGGUAUCAAACAGGAUUAGAUACCCCGGUAGUCCACACGGUAAACGAUGAAUACUCGCUGUUUGCGAUAUACUGCAAGCGGCCAAGCGAAAGCGUUAAGUAUUCCACCUGGGGAGUACGCCGGCAACGGUGAAACUCAAAGGAAUUGACGGGGGCCCGCACAAGCGGAGGAACAUGUGGUUUAAUUCGAUGAUACGCGAGGAACCUUACCCGGGCUUAAAUUGCAGAUGAAUUACGGUGAAAGCCGUAAGCCGCAAGGCAUCUGUGAAGGUGCUGCAUGGUUGUCGUCAGCUCGUGCCGUGAGGUGUCGGCUUAAGUGCCAUAACGAGCGCAACCCUUGUUGUCAGUUACUAACAGGUUCCGCUGAGGACUCUGACAAGACUGCCAUCGUAAGAUGUGAGGAAGGUGGGGAUGACGUCAAAUCAGCACGGCCCUUACGUCCGGGGCUACACACGUGUUACAAUGGGGGGUACAGAGGGCCGCUACCACGCGAGUGGAUGCCAAUCCCCAAAACCUCUCUCAGUUCGGACUGGAGUCUGCAACCCGACUCCACGAAGCUGGAUUCGCUAGUAAUCGCGCAUCAGCCACGGCGCGGUGAAUACGUUCCCGGGCCU
RNAcentral lists this ribosomal RNA (1358 nucleotides) under uncultured bacterium. RNAcentral's name for it is "bacterial SSU rRNA". It matches the Rfam family "Bacterial small subunit ribosomal RNA", at positions 28 to 1381 of the family's 1533-position model. The record is from RNAcentral.